Molecule: ribosomal RNA, 253 nt
Filed under: uncultured bacterium
Lineage: Bacteria
Description: partial 16S ribosomal RNA
Rfam family: Bacterial small subunit ribosomal RNA
Source: RNAcentral
UACGGGGGGGGCAAGCGUUGUUCGGAAUUACUGGGCGUAAAGGGCUCGUAGGCGGCCAACUAAGUCAGACGUGAAAUCCCUCGGCUUAACCGGGGAACUGCGUCUGAUACUGGAUGGCUUGAAUUCGGGAGAGGGAUGCGGAAUUCCAGGUGUAGCGGUGAAAUGCGUAGAUAUCUGGAGGAACACCGGUGGCGAAGGCGGCAUCCUGGACCGACAUUGACGCUGAUGAGCGAAAGCCAGGGGAGCAAACGGG